Molecule: ribosomal RNA, 530 nt
Filed under: uncultured bacterium
Lineage: Bacteria
Description: bacterial SSU rRNA
Rfam family: Bacterial small subunit ribosomal RNA
Source: RNAcentral
CCACCCUUGACAUGGCAGGAAUCCUUUAGAGAUAGAGGAGUGCUCGAAAGAGAACCUGCACACAGGUGCUGCAUGGCUGUCGUCAGCUCGUGUCGUGAGAUGUUGGGUUAAGUCCCGCAACGAGCGCAACCCUUGCCAUUAGUUGCUACGAAAGGGCACUCUAAUGGGACUGCCGGUGACAAACCGGAGGAAGGUGGGGAUGACGUCAAGUCCUCAUGGCCCUUAUAGGUGGGGCUACACACGUCAUACAAUGGCUGGUACAAAGGGUUGCCAACCCGCGAGGGGGAGCUAAUCCCAUAAAGCCAGUCGUAGUCCGGAUCGCAGUCUGCAACUCGACUGCGUGAAGUCGGAAUCGCUAGUAAUCGUGGAUCAGAAUGUCACGGUGAAUACGUUCCCGGGUCUUGUACACACCGCCCGUCACACCAUGGGAGCGGGUCUCGCCAGAAGUAGGUAGCCUAACCGCAAGGAGGGCGCUUACCACGGCGGGGUUCGUGACUGGGGUGAAGUCGUAACAAGGUAGGCGUAGUGCU